Rattus norvegicus (Norway rat) is the source of this 131-nucleotide small nucleolar RNA. Ensembl annotates it as small nucleolar RNA SNORA17. The record is from Ensembl. NCBI's taxonomy places the organism in Eukaryota, Metazoa, Chordata, Mammalia, Rodentia, Muridae.
AAUGUCCCUAUAGGUGUUGUGGGUGUGCAAGCUCUGUCCCAUACGCAUCCAUAGGUGGCAGAAGGAGAGAAGCUAUGUUCAUGCUUAGAGUUCUGACCUAUGAACAUUUGAAUAAUUAGUAGCUUAGAAGA